RNAcentral lists this ribosomal RNA (253 nucleotides) under uncultured bacterium. Its description in RNAcentral is "partial 16S ribosomal RNA". It matches the Rfam family "Bacterial small subunit ribosomal RNA", at positions 524 to 776 of the family's 1533-position model. The record is from RNAcentral.
UACGAAGGGGGCUAGCGUUGCUCGGAAUCACUGGGCGGAAAGCGCACGUAGGCGGCUUGUUAAGUCAGGGGUGAAAUCCUGGAGCUCAACUCCAGAACUGCCUUUGACACUGGCGAUCUCGAGUCCGGGAGAGGUGAGUGGAACUGCGAGUGUAGAGGUGAAAUUCGUAGAUAUUCGCAAGAACACCAGUGGCGAAGGCGGCUCACUGGCCCGGUACUGACGCUGAGGUGCGAAAGCGUGGGGAGCAAACAGG